This 127-nucleotide ribosomal RNA is filed under the name uncultured bacterium. RNAcentral describes it as "partial 16S ribosomal RNA". It matches the Rfam family "Bacterial small subunit ribosomal RNA", at positions 920 to 1045 of the family's 1533-position model. The record is from RNAcentral.
CCCGCACAAGCGGUGGAGCAUGUGGUUUAAUUCGACGCAACGCGAAGAACCUUACCUGGGCUCGAAAUGUAGUGGAAUCCGGCAGAAACGUCGGCGUCUAGCAAUAGACCGCUAUAUAGGUGCUGCA